RNAcentral lists this ribosomal RNA (459 nucleotides) under uncultured bacterium. Its description in RNAcentral is "partial 16S ribosomal RNA". It matches the Rfam family "Bacterial small subunit ribosomal RNA", at positions 338 to 795 of the family's 1533-position model. The record is from RNAcentral.
CCUACGUGAGGCUGCAGUGAGGAAUAUUGGUCAAUGGGAGAGAUCCUGAACCAGCCAAGCCGCGUGAGGGAAGACGGCCCUAUGGGUUGUAAACCUCUUUUGUCGGAGAACAAAACCCGGGACGAGUCCCGGACUGCGUGUAUCCGAAGAAAAAGCAUCGGCUAAAUCCGUGCCAGCAGCCGCGGUAAUACGGAGGAUGCGAGCGUUAUCCGGAUUUAUUGGGUUUAAAGGGUGCGUAGGCGGUCUGUUAAGUCAGCGGUAAAAUUGCGGGGCUCAACCCCGUCGAGCCGUUGAAACUGGCAGACUUGAGUUGGCGAGAAGUACGCGGAAUGCGCGGUGUAGCGGUGAAAUGCAUAGAUAUCGCGCAGAACUCCAGUGGCGAAAGCGGCUCUCUGGUCUGUAACUGACGCUGAGGUUCGAAAGCGUGGGUAGCAAACAGGAUUAGAUACCCGUGUAGUC